CCCUGGUGUUCUGAUUGAAGGUGAGAAUGG
RNAcentral lists this non-coding RNA (30 nucleotides) under Homo sapiens (human). Lineage: Eukaryota; Metazoa; Chordata; Mammalia; Primates; Hominidae. The record is from RNAcentral.